CCGUCUGCGACGCGGAGGG
RNAcentral lists this ribosomal RNA (19 nucleotides) under Trichoderma koningiopsis. RNAcentral's name for it is "partial 18S ribosomal RNA". The record is from RNAcentral. Lineage: Eukaryota; Fungi; Ascomycota; Sordariomycetes; Hypocreales; Hypocreaceae.